GCACCGAGCAAAAGCAGUUAAUUAUUUAAAAAUAGUGUAAUGCAGUGAAUUUGAAAUGCUUCAAAAGUUGAAAGAAGAAAUAAAGUGAUACAAUCAUGGAAGCCGUGCGUCAAGGAUUUCAACUACAGCUAGAUUCAACCAGAAACCGUCCUAUCAAGAUGACCAAAAGCUAUGAAACUAUUACCAUCGUCUUCGUCUUGGAAACAGCUUCGCGUGGGCAUCUUGCACAUCUCAAUCGGAGUCCGAAUGAGGGAGUUAUGGCGAUUUUACAGAAGUCGUGCAGAACUGGCGAGGGAGUCCAGAGAGAACACUCGGGCGGGUGUUUUGCACCCUGCAAUUCACCCGACCGGGUGAAUCACCCGAGACUUAGUUUUUGAGGGCCUUUUUCCACAUUUUGGGCCCUUAGUAUAAAUACCUUUUGGUGUCAUUUUUCAUUCUAGAUUAAGAUUGUGAUUGAAGUUAUCUCCCUAGUGAGUUUUUCCUCUUUGAGGAAUGUAUCCAA
Non-coding RNA from Salvia hispanica, 502 nucleotides. The record is from RefSeq and is a predicted model, not a curated record. NCBI's taxonomy places the organism in Eukaryota, Viridiplantae, Streptophyta, Magnoliopsida, Lamiales, Lamiaceae.